AGGGUUUGAUCCUGGCUCAGGAUGAACGCUAGCGGCAGGCCUAACACAUGCAAGUCGAGGGGUAGAGGAAGCUUGCUUCCUUGAGACCGGCGCACGGGUGCGUAACGCGUAUGCAAUCUACCUUUUACAGAGGGAUAGCCCAGAGAAAUUUGGAUUAAUACCUCAUAGUAUAUUUGAAUCGCAUGGUUUAGAUAUUAAAGUUCCAACGGUAAAAGAUGAGCAUGCGUCCCAUUAGUUAGUUGGUAAGGUAACGGCUUACCAAGACGAUGAUGGGUAGGGGUCCUGAGAGGGAGAUCCCCCACACUGGUACUGAGACACGGACCAGACUCCUACGGGAGGCAGCAGUGAGGAAUAUUGGUCAAUGGACGCAAGUCUGAACCAGCCAUGCCGCGUGCAGGAAGACGGUCCUAUGGAUUGUAAACUGCUUUUGUACGGGAAGAAACCCUCCGACGUGUCGGAGCUUGACGGUACCGUAAGAAUAAGCAUCGGCUAACUCCGUGCCAGCAGCCGCGGUAAUACGGAGGAUGCGAGCGUUAUCCGGAAUCCUUGGGUUUAAAGGGUCC
This 563-nucleotide ribosomal RNA is filed under the name uncultured Flavobacteriia bacterium. RNAcentral describes it as "bacterial SSU rRNA". It matches the Rfam family "Bacterial small subunit ribosomal RNA", at positions 8 to 570 of the family's 1533-position model. Lineage: Bacteria; Pseudomonadati; Bacteroidota; Flavobacteriia. The record is from RNAcentral.